Molecule: non-coding RNA, 596 nt
Organism: Camellia sinensis
Lineage: Eukaryota; Viridiplantae; Streptophyta; Magnoliopsida; Ericales; Theaceae
Source: RefSeq, a predicted model, not a curated record
GGAUGAUUUCACUCCCACUGGGACAGGAGAACCACCACUUUCAAAAGCAGUUUCUUAGGUUGUGACCGCUGAUCCUUUGUCGGGAAAGCCUGCCAGACGCGAAACAAACACCAUGCCACAGUGGGCUGGUUCAUGCUGGUACUAUAUGAGAUUUAUGGACCUUAAAAAUUCCGAAGCGUUGGUUGAUAAGAUGAAAGAAAUGUAUUGGAGCCCUGUUGAUGUGUAUGUCGGCGGUGCUGAACAUGCUGUUCUUCACUUACUUUAUUCCAGGUUCUGGCACAAGGUUCUCUAUGACAUUGGUGUUCUAAUUCAAACCAGGGGAUUAUCCGAGGGGAAGUACAGUUGCUUGGUCACAAAACUCUGUUGAUGUGUUCGGAGAGCAUCAUCAAGAAAGAAUACCUGAUGAAAAAGCAUCAUCAAGAAAGAAUACCCGAUGAAAAAGCGUUCAUCGAUUUUUGGGGACAGUUUGGAGAUUGAUAGUUGGUUCAUCUUUACCCAAUGGUAAAUUCAGAGAUGGAACAGUGGCAAUUGACAAGGAGCCUCUAUUGGAACAACUUCGUUUUCUCCAUAAAUGCAUUGAUAAGGUAUUAUCAUUA